RNAcentral lists this ribosomal RNA (497 nucleotides) under uncultured bacterium. RNAcentral's name for it is "partial 16S ribosomal RNA". It matches the Rfam family "Bacterial small subunit ribosomal RNA", at positions 28 to 507 of the family's 1533-position model. The record is from RNAcentral.
GACGAACGCUGGCGGCGUGCCUAAUACAUGCAAGUAGAACGCUGAAGAGAGGAGCUUCCUCUUCUUGGAUGAGUUGCGAACGGGUGAGUAACGCGUAGGUAACCUGCAUUGUAGCGGGGGAUAACUAUUGGAAACGAUAGCUAAUACCGCAUAACAAUGGAUGACACAUGUCAUUUAUUUGAAAGGGGCAAUUGCUCCACUACAAGAUGGACCUGCGUUGUAUUAGCUAGUAGGUGAGGUAAUGGCUCACCUAGGCGACGAUACAUAGCCGACCUGAGAGGGUGAUCGGCCACACUGGGACUGAGACCCGGCCCAGACUGCUACGGGAGGCAGCAGUAGGGAAUCUUCGGCAAUGGGGGCAACCCUGACCGAGCAACGCCGCGUGAGUGAAGAAGGUUUUCGGAUCGUAAAGCUCUGUUGUAAGUCAAGAACGGGUGUGAGAGUGGAAAGUUCACACUGUGACGGUAGCUUACCAGAAAGGGACGGCUAACUACGUG